UACAGAGGGUGCAAGCGUUAAUCGGAAUUACUGGGCGUAAAGCGUGCGUAGUCGGUUAUCUAAGUCGGGUGUGAAAUCCCCGGGCUCAACCUGGGAAUUGCAUUCGAUACUGGAUAGCUAGAGUUCGGCAGAGGGAAGCGGAAUUUCGGGUGUAGCGGUGAAAUGCGUAGAUAUCCGAAGGAACAUCAGUGGCGAAAGCGGCUUCCUGGACCAGAACUGACGAUCAGGCACGAAGGCGUGGGGAGCAAACAGG
RNAcentral lists this ribosomal RNA (253 nucleotides) under uncultured bacterium. Its description in RNAcentral is "partial 16S ribosomal RNA". It matches the Rfam family "Bacterial small subunit ribosomal RNA", at positions 524 to 776 of the family's 1533-position model. The record is from RNAcentral.